RNAcentral lists this long non-coding RNA (3605 nucleotides) under Mus musculus (house mouse). Its description in RNAcentral is "long non-coding RNA chr4:127126039-127129644". Lineage: Eukaryota; Metazoa; Chordata; Mammalia; Rodentia; Muridae. The record is from RNAcentral.
GUAGUCUUCCGGUAGGGAGGAAGAGUCGUCCAGGAAGGCGGGCGCUGCUAUGUCGUUCAGGGUAGGCGUGUUGCGGGUUCUGCUUGGCGUCUUCUUCGCGCUCACCGGGGCUGCCAAGCUCUUUCAGGUCUCGGCCCCCGUGUCACAACAGAUGGUGAGCGGCACCCGGGGAAGGACAGUGUGUGCUCGGUUCCCGGGGGCUUCAUGCCUUCGGGCUCGAGGCCGCCUGGGCCUUUCCUCCUAUUUUCUACACCUUCUCCAGGUGGGAGGGCACGGGACUUAACUGCUGGCUGAGCAUGUUGUCCCCAGGCCGAUUUAGAGUUGGAGAAGUGAUGGGACUCAGGAGGUCCAGGAAGACAAAGUGAAAAAGUGACCUAGCACCCCUCUCCACCCCACAUCCACCAACCCAUUGUUCCAGGUUGGGGAGGCAGAAUUUUACUUUAUUUGGUUUUUGUUUGUUUGUUUGAGCUGGUCUUCUGAAUGUGUCCCUCUGGCUGGCUGGCCCGGAGCUCACUCAGUGUAGUGGCUGGCCUCGAACUUGCAGAGAUCCACCUACCCCAACCUCCAGACUACUGGGAUUAACGGCUUACCUACCUUAGAAAUCUUUUUUAAGCUUGAAACUAGUCAUGAUGGUAAAAUGUAAUUUACCAAAACAUUACACAGCUAUUCAAGCAAGGCUCAAAGUAGACCAAUCUAACUAGACUCCUCAGUGUCCCACGCAGCCUGGGACAGAAGCAUAGAAGUCACUGACUGUAGUUCCUUAUCCCGAGAGGGUCUACCAGCAGUUUCCAGACCCUCAGAGAAGCCAGGCUCUGUGGAAGACCCCUGUUGCCACCUCCCAAGCCUGGGUACUACUACGAUUUUCUUCUCCUUUUCCUCCUCCUCCUCUCCUCCCUUCCUCCUUUUUUCUUCUUCCUUUCCUCUUUCUUCUUCCCCUCCUCUCCUCCCCUCCUCCUCCUCUUUUCUUCUUUCUUCUUCCCUAAGAUGGUGGGUUCUUUAGGAUAGAUAUGGUAAAAGCCAAACAGCUUAAACUCUCUGCAGGUGUGUCUCAUGUGCGGCCCUUGGACCACAUACACUCCAGGAUAGCUGUCACUGUAGCCCAGCAUAAAAGUGUAAAUUUAAAAUCCGUGCUUUUUUUCCCCCUUUCAAUUCAGCUGUGGGGUUCUGGAGCAGCUCUGUAGGUGACAGUAUGGAGCUCCCUCCUUGGAAGCCAGAGUAGGACAGGCAGGGCUGCUGUUGGACCACAGGAAACAGUCCUGAGGGUGGAGCAGGCCCAGGGAAGGGUCUGAGUAGGGUGUGUUACACCCCCUCAGCUGUUCCUUGUGUCUGCCACAGUAGAAUCAGGACCUGCAUAGAAGAUGGAAAGUGUCAGUCAUUCUCUAAGGAGUCUAUCCAUCCCACCUGCAGAUAUUCAGAGAGAAGAGAAACUAGACCUGGCACAAAGAGAAUCUGUAGCCCUUCCUAGGCCCUGGCCCUAGAUGGGAAAGCCAAGCCCUGCUCCCUUCUUCUGGGAUUUGAGCUGGGUUAUCAUCUAUGGAGAGGUCUGGUUAGGACAUAAAACCGACUACACCUGAAGCCCUUUUUCACACGGGCACGUCUGUUCCUAAUUCCAAAAGCCAGCCCUAUAGGUCAAGGUCAGCCCCUCCUUACCGGGCUCUUAAACUACUUGUAGCAGUUUUGUUAAGGGAGCCGGUUAUAGGCAGAGGAGGUCUCGGUGGUGCCUUCAGGCACUGCAUUUUCUGAUAAGUAGUACUGACAGGCGUUCCCUACCACUCGUAGAGAGCCUUGUUCGAGCAGUUUGCUGAGGUGUUUCCAUUGAAGGUGUUCGGCUACCAGCCAGACCCUAUAAGCUACCAGACAGCUGUGGGAUGGCUGGAACUGCUGGCUGGGUUGCUGCUGGUCGUGGGUCCACCUGUGCUACAGGAGAUCAGUAACGUGCUCUUGAUCCUACUCAUGAUGGGUAAGGGGGCAACUGGGCUCUCCUGGGGAUGAUAGAAAAAAAUCAGCGGUUUUUCCUUAUGCGGUCCUCUCUUUUCUGGGACUGGGAACACUUCCUGCUUUGCCACAGCUUCCCUAAUUUUGAGACCAGGAGUUUUUGAAAUGCCUUGUACCAUAUCCUGGACACUGUAACACUGUCACAUGCUUUCCCCAUGCUGUCUGUGGCUGCAGUGUCCCAGGGUAAGCAUGUAGCAUGGCCUCAAGAGCUCCUACUCUCUGAUCAAUGCUCACUGCUGUAGGGUGUGUAAUAGCAGUUACCACUUAAUGUAUAAUGUGUCUGUGGGUGCUGGAGCAGCCAGCAGGAAAGCUGGAGUCCCUUGACCGGAGAGGCAGAGGAUUUCUCUAGAAGGCACUUUCUCAGGAGUGCCACCAACAAGAGAUGCCAGUGUACAGACAGGUCAGCUGCUGCUGCAAAGGCUAGACACCCUUGUGCUGACUUGCGUGCCCUGGCCAGGGUCACGUUAUUGCCACUAAAACAUUCCGUGUGUAAAGCUUUCCUCAUUUUCAGAUCAUUAACACACUUUUUCCUCAAGCCCUUCAGCCCCAGUUUGAAUCCCUCCAGUAGAUUUAGGAUUAUUAAGAAAGAGGAGAGGGAAAGUUAGUUUCCACAUCCCAAUCUUCCCACUUUGACUCUCCCAUGCUCCAGGGCAUACAUUAGCUCUAGAGGCUUCUAUUUCUUUGUCCUGCUUCCUGGAAGUGGUGUAGAGGGGUGAUUAAUUGGGGUCAGGGGUCAGGGGUUGGUGAGCUGGAAUGGGUCAGCCUGGGCCAGAAUCCCUGAGUUCUUGGAUCCUCUGGGCGUCUUCCUUUCUGUUCUAGGGGCUGUCUUCACUCUGGUGGUUCUGAAAGAGCCACUGAGUACUUACGUCCCAGCUGCUGUCUGUCUGGGGCUCCUGCUGCUGCUGGAUUCCUGCCACUUCUUAGCUCGUACUAAGGGAGCGGUCAGAUGCCCGAGCAAGAAGAUUCCUCCUGCACACGGCAAUUGAGUCUUCAGACCAUGUAGCUACCACGGCAGGAACAGUCACAGCACACCAUCUACCACUUUGUCAGGUCCACAGUCAUUCAGUGUAAAAGAGCUGUCUUGUCUAGGCCUCAGUCUCCCCUAAUAACUAUGUUGCUCUGUUUUGAGGGCAGCAUUAAUACUUUUCAUGUGACAUGAAAACAGGAAGUAAGUGGGAAAGAAGCUAAAACCACUCCAAAUUCUAAUGCCCCAUGAGUAAUCUUCUCAAUGUUUUGGUGUGACUGUGCCUCGCCAUCUUUUUCUAUGAUUAUAUAAAGAUGCAUAUUUUUUUAAAUGAAAUGAGACAGUAUAGCCUAUUGUCCACCGUUAAGAUCCAGAGUUCUUUAACAUGACUCAUGUUUUUAUUUCAUCAAUGUUCAUGGCUUUUACUCUGUUCAUCAUGCUGAGGAUGAAGAAGUGGCUGAAGCGCUAGGAGCACUUGCUGCUUGUGCAAAGGGCCUGGGUUCAGUUCCCAGCAUCCUCAUGGCGGCUCAUAACCCUCUACAUCUGGUUUCAGAGGAUCUGGCACCCUCUCCUGGCCUUUUGGAGCACCAGACAUGCUCAUAGUAUGCAAAGCACUUAUGCACAUAAAAUAAACGUUUUUAAAGGC